GAUAAACGCUGGCGGCGCACAUAAGACAUGCAAGUCGAACGGACUUAACCUAUAGUUUACUAUUGGAGCGGUUAGUGGCGGACGGGUGAGUAACGCGUGAGGAACCUGCCUUUCAGAGGGGGACAACAGUUGGAAACGACUGCUAAUACCGCAUGACGCAUAGGAGCCGCAUGGCUCUUAUGCCAAAGAUUUAUCGCUGAAAGAUGGCCUCGCGUCUGAUUAGCUAGUUGGUGAGGUAACGGCCCACCAAGGCGACGAUCAGUAGCCGGACUGAGAGGUUGACCGGCCACAUUGGGACUGAGAUACGGCCCAG
This 313-nucleotide ribosomal RNA is filed under the name uncultured bacterium. Its description in RNAcentral is "bacterial SSU rRNA". It matches the Rfam family "Bacterial small subunit ribosomal RNA", at positions 28 to 334 of the family's 1533-position model. The record is from RNAcentral.